GUAGGUGAACCUGCGGAAGGAUCAUUAACGAGUUUCUUUCCGGUAAUUCGGAAAACUCCCACCCUUGUGUAUUUUAGCUGAAAAGCAGCUUCGGCGGGCCGUCAGACCUUAGCGAUAUGGUCUUGACAUCGGCUCUGUGCGGAUUUGCGUCCGCCGAAGAACCAACUCUUACAAUUUUGAAGUCUGAUAAACAGAAAAUAAAUCAAAACUUUCAACAACGGAUCUCUUGGUUCUG
RNAcentral lists this unclassified non-coding RNA (235 nucleotides) under rhizosphere metagenome. RNAcentral describes it as "partial ribosomal RNA internal transcribed spacer region". The record is from RNAcentral.